AUUGAACGCUGGCGGCGUGCCUAACACAUGCAAGUCGAGCGGUAACAGGUGUAGCAAUACAUGCUGACGAGCGGCGGACGGGUGAGUAACGCUUGGGAAUCUGCCUAUUAGUGGGGGACAACCCGGAGAAACUCGGGCUAAUACCGCAUACGCUCUACGGAGGAAAGCCGGGGACCGCAAGGCCUGGCGCUAAUAGAUGAGCCCAAGUCGGAUUAGCUAGUUGGUAGGGUAANGGCCUACCAAGGCGACGAUCCGUAACUGGUCUGAGAGGACGACCAGUCACACCGGAACUGAGACACGGUCCGGACUCCUACGGGAGGCAGCAGUGGGGAAUAUUGGACAAUGGGCGAAAGCCUGAUCCAGCGACGCCGCGUGGGUGAAGAAGGCCUGCGGGUUGUAAAGCCCUUUCAGCUCCGACGAAGCGAGAGUGACGGUAGGAGCAGAAGAAGCACCGGCCAACUACGUGCCAGCAGCCGCAGU
This 480-nucleotide ribosomal RNA is filed under the name uncultured bacterium. RNAcentral's name for it is "bacterial SSU rRNA". It matches the Rfam family "Bacterial small subunit ribosomal RNA", at positions 29 to 521 of the family's 1533-position model. The record is from RNAcentral.